This 69-nucleotide transfer RNA is filed under the name Varanus rosenbergi. RNAcentral's name for it is "tRNA-Ile". Lineage: Eukaryota; Metazoa; Chordata; Lepidosauria; Squamata; Varanidae. The record is from RNAcentral.
GGAAAUGUGCCUGAAACCAAAGGGCUAUUUUGAUAGAAUAGACCAUAGGAAUGCACCUCCUCAUUUCCU